RNAcentral lists this long non-coding RNA (2406 nucleotides) under Sus scrofa (pig). Its description in RNAcentral is "lncRNA (ENSSSCG00015011298.1)". Lineage: Eukaryota; Metazoa; Chordata; Mammalia; Artiodactyla; Suidae. The record is from RNAcentral.
CAGCCUGUCUCCCCAUAAGGGGAGCCGCAGUGCCCUUCCGGGGGGGCGAGGGACACACCACUCGGACACUGUCACAGUCGGGAGUGGACACGGCCCCGGACAUCGCUGCGCCAGCCAGGCCCUCACUCGGCCUCUUCGGCCUCGACCCCACCCCCACCCGGCUCUGACUCUUUGUUCGGAGGACAAAGGGCUCCGGCAGAGCCUCUGGGUCCUGCUGACUCUGCACCCCCUCCCAGAACAGGACAAAGGGGGGACGCGAAGCUUCUGAUGCCUCAGCCAGUUUCUGUGGAGGCUGCAAGGGCAGGGAGGCUGGCUGAAGGACGGAGGCCUGGGGACAGAGCCACGCGGGCAGGUGCCCCGAUCCCUCGUCCUAGGAACCCAGAGGCUGGCCCGGGGAGAGGGGCUGGGCCCAGAGGAACCAGCAGGUCUGGGUCAGAGCCGAGCCCCAGCCCAUGGGCCACAGCUGUCCAGCCCACGGGCCCAGCUCCGGGCCUGCCUGAGUGGGGACAUUUGGGGGCUUACGGUGGGGCUGUACAGGCCUUUCCAGGGGCGCAGCCUGUGGCCCAGAGAUUGGGAGUCUCCGCCAUCCCAGGAGGGUGACCAGAGGGCACCCACCCAGCAGCUUCGAGGCCCCGGCAGGAAGGGGAAGGGGCCUGCACAGGCCGCGCUGCUCUGAAACAGGACCGGGAGCUCUCGCCCCGCAGGGCUUGGCGGUGGGAUGGACUCUGGCUCCCUGGCUGUCCCUGGCCUGCCCGGGGGGCGCUGUGUGCUUCGGCCCCUGCAGGAGGGGGAGGGUCCCAGCGGCUCCGAACCAGGGCAGCUGCCAUCUGGAAACCACUUCCACCUGUUUUAGACCCCGUGUCUGCACCAUGACUGCGGGGGGUCCCCUUCGGGAGGUGUCACAUGAAGCCGUCCUGCAGACCCCUGCCCUCCGGGGAGGCAAGACGCACCAACGAGCGACUGAGUCCAUCAUGAGCUUGGGCAGAGCAGGGGCAACGGAGCCCAGGAAAGAGCCCUCAGGGUCCUGGUCGCAGGCGGACGUUCUGUCGUCUGAGUUAUGCUACGGCGUGGUGUCAGCGUGGCUACAAAGCGACAGUCUGGAUGCUGCCGAGCAGCAGCGCAGAAAGGAGGCGGCACAGGAGGAACGGUCAGAGGUUUCCUCCUUCUUCAAAAAAAAAAAGAAAAAAAAAAAGAAAAAGAAAAAAAAGCUAGCCUCUUGUGUGGCUGAAAUGGAACUCAGUGUCACUGAGAAACAAGCCUCCUUUAUACGCAGCCCAGGACAACGUGUUUAUUUAUUUAUUUUUAACAGUCGCGAGUUACAGUACUCCGCACCCUCCAUGCACUCUUUGCAACCACAUGUCCUUUUCAAAAGUCUCUUUUUCCCAAACAUUCCAUCCAAAGGAUGAAUGGUCUCUUUGCACCAGUAACAUCCAAAUGUUCAAGUCAAAAAUAUGUGUACAUUUUAUACUUAGUUCUUUUUUUUUUUUUUUUGUCUGCUAAAAAUAGUAUUGCAAGUUUUGGCUUCUUUUGACAUAAAAAUUACAAUCAUGUGCGAAACGCUAACAAUGAAGCGAUUGAUCAGAAUUCAAGCAGGUUGUCCAAUCUGAAUGUGUUAUAGAUUCUGCAUAAUUUUUCUUUUCAUUUUUUUUUUCCAGCGAAACAAAACAAACACACACACAAACAAAAACCAGAAACCCUUGCCAUGUCAGAAACAUCUUGUACCGAGCCCCCGCGCUCUCCGGCCGCCAGCGGGUGACACGCUCGCCCGGGGCUGGCUGGCUGACAGAGUGACAAAUUCCCGCAGCAGCAACGUUCGGAAACAGUAGUUAAAGCUCAAGACAGCUAUGCACUCUCCAUUCUGCGUUGAGGAUUUACCGCUGCAGAGGCAAAAAAGCAGGUUUUCUCGGAGUUCUCGGUUGGUGAACGGGCCAGAGGCCUUUUUCUACUUGUAGCAAGCUAUUUCCCUAAAAAUAACCCGUUUGAGGGGCACCUAAGCAGUCAACGGCUGGGGUGGCAGGCACUGGGCCAGUGCUGGAACGUUCCGGCCAUCGGGUGCCGCCAGGGCAGCGCUGGGCCGGGCGCAGAGCAGGCCCCUCCCAGGCUGAGCCUCUGCCCCCUCCCUCUAAACACAGAGGAGAAACACGCUGGCCCUGGCGGCCGGGCAGGCCGGCAGGCUGCCCACCCCAGGGCCUCUCCCCCGGCCUCUGGUCCGCCUUCAGGGGCAAGGUAGCACAGUCCGUCAAGUGCAAGGUCAAGCAGUCACAGAGAACUCUGGGCGAGACCAGACACAGUGCAAGACAGGAUUCAAGUACAGAGGCGCGCCGGCCAGGCGGGCGGCCCCCCGAGCUCACAGGAUCUGUCACACCUCCGGUCCCUUCUCCUGGACCUUCUCCUGGACGGUCCCGC